UUGACCUCGAAUCAGGUAGGAAUACCCGCUGAACUUAAGCAUAUCAAUAAGCGGAGGAAAAGAAACCAACCGGGAUUACCUCAGUAACGGCGAGUGAAGCGGUAACAGCUCAAAUUUGAAAUCUGGCUCCUUGGGAGUCCGAGUUGUAAUUUGUAGAAGCUGCUUUGGGUUGUGGGUUCGGCCUAAGUUCCUUGGAACAGGACGUCAUAGAGGGUGAGAAUCCCGUAUGUGGCCGAGGCCUGCGCCUAUGUAAAGCGCUUUCGACGAGUCGAGUUGUUUGGGAAUGCAGCUCAAAAUGGGUGGUAAAUUUCAUCUAAAGCUAAAUAUGGGCCAGAGACCGAUAGCGCACAAGUAGAGUGAUCGAAAGAUGAAAAGCACUUUGGAAAGAGAGUUAAACAGUACGUGAAAUUGUUGAAAGGGAAGCGCUUGCAACCAGACUUGGGCGCUGUCGAUCACCCCGAGUUCUCUCGGGUGCACUCGUCAGCGUACAGGCCAGCAUCGGUUCGGGUGGCUGGAUAAAGGCCGUAGGAACGUAGCUCCUCUCGGGGAGUGUUAUAGCCUGCGGUGCCAUGCAGCCCAGCCGGACCGAGGACCGCGCCUUUGGGCUAGGAUGCUGGCGUAAUGGUUGUAAGCGACCCGUCUUGAAACACGGACCAAGGAGUCUAACAUCUAUGCGAGUGUUUGGGCGUUAAACCCAUACGCGGAAUGAAAGUGAACGUAGGU
RNAcentral lists this ribosomal RNA (723 nucleotides) under Erysiphe staphyleae. Its description in RNAcentral is "eukaryotic LSU rRNA". It matches the Rfam family "Eukaryotic large subunit ribosomal RNA", at positions 1 to 736 of the family's 3401-position model. The record is from RNAcentral. Lineage: Eukaryota; Fungi; Ascomycota; Leotiomycetes; Helotiales; Erysiphaceae.